RNAcentral lists this transfer RNA (85 nucleotides) under Felis catus (domestic cat). It matches the Rfam family "tRNA". Rfam says of the family: Transfer RNA (tRNA) molecules are approximately 80 nucleotides in length. Their secondary structure includes four short double-helical elements and three loops (D, anti-codon, and T loops). The record is from Rfam by way of RNAcentral. Lineage: Eukaryota; Metazoa; Chordata; Mammalia; Carnivora; Felidae. RNAcentral also lists the same sequence under 1 other name.
GCCUGGGUGGCUCAGUCGGUUGAGCGUCAGGCUUCAGCUCAGGUCAUGAUGUCGAGGUCUGUGGGUUCGAGCCCCACGUCAGGCU